AGGGCGUACGGUGGAUGCCUAGGCUCUUACAGGCGAUGAAGGACGUGAUAAGCUGCGAAAAGCCGCGGGGAGGUGCAAAUGACCCUUGAUCCGCGGAUGUCCGAAUGGGAAAACCCGGCAUGCUGAAGGCAUGUCACACCGCGAAUGCGGUGAGCGAACGCGGGGAACUGAAACAUCUUAGUACCCGCAGGAAGAGAAAAUAAUAAUGAUUCCCCCAGUAGUGGCGAGCGAACGGGGAAGAGCCCAAACCCGGGAGGUUCCGGCCUCCCGGGGGUUGUAGGACUGCAUUACGGUACGGCAGCAUGCGAGGAGAACGGACUGGAACGUCCGGCCGCAGCGGGUGAAAGCCCCUUAUCCGAAGCAUACUCCGGCCAGCAGAAUCCUGAGUAGCGCGGGACACGUGAAAUCCUGUGUGAAUCCGGCGGGCCCAUCCGCCAAGGCUAAAUACUCGUAAGAGACCGAUAGCGUACCAGUACCGUGAGGGAAAGGUGAAAAGCACCGCGCGCAGCGGAGUGAAAAAGUUCCUGAAACCGUACGCCUACAAGCGGUCGGAGCAUCCAUGUGGUGUGACGGCGUGCCUUUUGCAUAAUGAACCUACGAGUUGCCGUCACCGGCAAGGUUAAGCGUCAUUAGACGUGUAGCCGAAGCGAAAGCGAGUCUGAAGAGGGCGCAUAGUCAGUGGCGGCAGACGCGAAACCGAGUGAUCUACCCUUGUCCAGGUUGAAGUCCGGGUAACACCGGAUGGAGGACCGCACCGAUAAGCGUUGAAAAGCUUCCGGAUGAGGUGAGGGUAGGAGUGAAAGGCCAAUCAAACUCGGAGAUAGCUCGUACUCCCCGAAAUGCAUUUAGGUGCAGCCUCGGCAGUUCCCUUCCAGAGGUAGAGCGACUGAUCGGAUGCGAGGGCUUCACCGCCUAUCAAGUCCGGACAAACUCCGAAUGCUGGAAGGCCAUAUGCCGUGAGUGAGGGCAUGGGUGCUAAGGUCCGUGCCCGAGAGGAGAAGAAUCCAGACCGCCGGCUAAGGUCCCGAAAUACAGGUUAAGUUAGACUAACGAAGUGCGGUCCCGAAGACAGCUAGGAUGUUGGCUUGGAAGCAGCCAUUCAUUCAAAGAGUGCGUAACAGCUCACUAGUCGAGGGACUGUGCAUGGAUAAUAAUCGGGUAUAAAACCUGUUACCGAAGCCGCGGGAUACGCAAGUAUCGGUAGGGGAGCAUUCCAUGUGCGUUGAAUGUGAAGGGUGACCUUUUCUGGAGCGCAUGGAAAAGCAAAUGUAGGUAUAAGUAACGAUAAAGAGUGUGUGAUUCACUCUCGCCGAAAGACUAAGGUUUCCCGGGCAACGUCAAUCGCCCCGGGGUCAGUCGGGUCCUAAGGAUAAGCCGAACGGCGAGGCCGAUGGCCAAACGGUUAAUAUUCCGUUACUGCCCUUGAUGGCGAUGUGGUGACGCAGCGGUGACACUUCCGCGUCCUGACGGAAGCGGACGUUUAAGGAUGUAUGCUUUGAGGAGUACAGGCAAAUCCGUACUCCGAGCUGAACUCCGAAAGUACGCGAAGCCUUCGGGCGGAGCGAUAGCGAAGGUAAUCAUGCUGCCGAGAAAACCCGCUAAGCUUAACAUCAAGGGUACCCGUACCGCAAACGGACACACGUAGUCGGGUUGAAUAUACUGAGGCGCUUGGAAGAUUCACGGUUAAGGAACUAGGCAAAUUGACCCCGUAACUUCGGGAAAAGGGGUCCUCCAGUGAUGGAGGCGCAGCGAAUAGGUCCAGGCAACUGUUUAACAAAAACACAGGGCUGUGCAAACUCGUAAGAUGAAGUAUACAGCCUGACACCUGCCCGGUGCCGGAAGGUUAAGAGGAGUGCUCACCGCAAGGGAAGGCAUGAAUUGAAGCCCCGGUAAACGGCGGCCGUAACUAUAACGGUCCUAAGGUAGCGAAAUUCCUUGUCAGGUAAGUUCUGACCCGCACGAAAGGCGUAAUGAUUUGGGCACUGUCUCGACAAUGUACCCGGCGAAAUUGUAGUACUAGUGAAGAUGCUAGUUACCUGCGACAAGACAGAAAGACCCCAUGGAGCUUUACUGCAGUUUGAUACUGGGUUUCGAUAAGUUAUGUACAGGAUAGGUGGGAGACAAAGAAAGAAAGGCGUCAGCUUUUCCGGAGUCACCGUUGGGAUACCACCCUUAAUUUGUUGGAAUUCUAACUAGUGGUCAUGAUCUGGCCAGAGGACAAUGUCAGACGGGCAGUUUGACUGGGGCGGUCGCCUCCAAAAGAGUAACGGAGGCGCCCAAAGGUUCCCUCAGUGCGGACAGAAAUCGCACGAAAGAGUGUAAAGGCAGAAGGGAGCUUAACUGGAAGAUAGACAUAUCGAGCAGAUACGAAAGUAGGGCUUAGUGAUCCGGUGGAUAUUGAAUGGAAAAGCCAUCGCUCAACGGACAAAAGUUACCCUGGGGAUAACAGGCUUAUCUCCCCCAAGAGUUCACAUCGACGGGGAGGUUUGGCACCUCGAUGUCGGCUCAUCGCAUCCUGGAGCGGAAGUACGUUCCAAGGGUUGGGCUGUUCGCCCAUUAAAGCGGUACGCGAGCUGGGUUCAGAACGU
Molecule: ribosomal RNA, 2588 nt
Filed under: human gut metagenome
Description: bacterial LSU rRNA
Rfam family: Bacterial large subunit ribosomal RNA
Source: RNAcentral